Lactuca sativa (garden lettuce) is the source of this 1329-nucleotide long non-coding RNA. RefSeq lists it as uncharacterized. NCBI's taxonomy places the organism in Eukaryota, Viridiplantae, Streptophyta, Magnoliopsida, Asterales, Asteraceae. The record is from RefSeq and is a predicted model, not a curated record.
GUUUGUAUAACUUCCUUUUAUGUUCAUAUAUGCUUAACUGUAUUUGAUUGCAUUACUAUAUUAUAUAUAUUAUAUGUUCAUUUAUAUUUGUUUAUCUUUGUUCAUUUAUGUUCGUUUAGCAUGUUCACGAACAUAAACGAAUGAACAAUGUAAUUUGUUAAAAGAACGAACAUGAACGAUAAAAUUCGUUCGUUUAUCCGUUCGCGUUCGUUCAUUUGUUCGGCUAACUUAAACGAACGAACAUGAACAACCCUCAUUCGUGUUUGUUCAGUUCAUUUACAACCCUACAUGGACUAUCCAUACAUUAUUUUCUCGUUCUAACUAUCCAUGUGUUAUUUUUUUCAUUUGGACUAUCCAUACAUUAUUUUUUUGGUUCAAACUAUAAUGUAUUACAGUAUUUUUUUGGUUCGGACUAACCAUAAAUUAUUUCUUUCAUUCGGACUAACCAUACAUGUUUUUCUACGAUUAUAAAGCAUCGGCAUACUACAAACCAUUUCAAUUAUUAUUGUUUUUGUCUUUUGUCUUUUAUUUUAAAUUUUAUGAGUUAUUAUGUUCGUCUUAACAAUUUUGUUGUUGACUGAAUGCGUUUGACCAUGAGUUAUUAAUGUCAUCAUGUUUUCAAACAUGAUUUCCAUUAGUUUAUGUAGUUUUGUUAAUAACAAUGACUUUAACUUUAAGGACCAUUUAUAUAAAUUAUCUGUAACUUUAGGGACCAUUUAUGUAAAUUACUUUUUGUCAAUUAAAUUGAAGAGAUGUAUCUAGUAAUAGUGAAUUGUAGAGAUGUACUUAGUAAUAGUGAAUUGCCUCUUCAGAUAUCGAUGUCCUAGUAAUAGUGAAUUGUCUCUUCAUAUAUCAACGUCCUUACUAAUAGUGAAUCGACUCUUUAAAUAUCGAUGUCUUUAUAUCAGUUACAUUGAAUCAUAUGGUGUUCAACAUUCAUGAAAUUUUAAUGGAUUGGGUUCAAAAUGUGGCCAUGGUGGAGAUCCAAAACACCCUCAUGAUGAAUCUCAUUAGAACUACUGGCAGUUGCUCUGUUUUGGGUGGGUUUUUUUUUUCAACUAUGAAGUGGACUAGUGAUAGUGAUGAGGUUCCAAAGAGUAGGAUUAGAUGAAGGAUUUGCAGGAGUACAUUAGAACCAGAGGACAUAAACACAAUGUUUGCAAAUCCAUAGAAUCUGUUCCAUUCUUAAGGUGAUGAUUGUGGGAUUGCUCUCACUGGAAAUUCCCAUGUUUUGUUUAUCUGUUUAACCAUGAAACUCAUUCAAUGUUAUUAACGUUUUAUAACAACUAAUUAUUUGAAAUGUAUGAUUUAGCCACCUAUCUUUUUAUA